RNAcentral lists this non-coding RNA (176 nucleotides) under Gallaecimonas xiamenensis 3-C-1. RNAcentral also lists the same sequence under 1 other name. The record is from RNAcentral. Lineage: Bacteria; Pseudomonadati; Pseudomonadota; Gammaproteobacteria; Enterobacterales; Gallaecimonadaceae.
UUCAACGCCUUUUUUCAUGGUGCCCGCUGGGAUAAUCGGGAAGCCGGUGUAAAUCCGGCACUGCCCCCGCAACGGUAAGGAAGGCGCAGCGUCAUCAGGCCACUGUGGCAACACGGGAAGGCGGCGCUGCUAGACCCCGUCCAAGUCCGGAGACCGGCCAUGAAAGAAAACCUGAC